AGCAGCCGCGGUAAUUCCAGCUCCAAUAGCGUAUAUUAAAGUUGUUGCAGUUAAAAAGCUCGUAGUUGAAUUUCGGGGUUAGUAGGUUGGUCAUGCCUCUAGUAUGUACUGGUCUCACUGAUUCCUCCUUCCUGAUGAACCUUAAUGCCAUUAAUUUGGUGUUUUGGGGAAUUUGGACUGUUACUUUGAAAAAAUUAGAGUGUUUAAAGCAAGCUAACGCUUGAAUACAUUAGCAUGGAAUAAUGAAAUAGGACGUUCGAUCCUAUUUUGUUGGUUUCUAGGAUUGACGUAAUGAUUAAUAGGGAUAGUUGGGGGCAUUAGUAUUCAAUUGUCAGAGGUGAAAUUCUUGGAUUUAUUGAAGACUAACUACUGCGAAAGCAUUUGCCAAGGAUGUUUUCAUUAAUCAAGAACGAAAGUUAGGGGAUCGAAGACGAUCAGAUACCGUCGUAGUCUUAACCAUAAACUAUGCCGACUAGGGAUCGGAUGAUGUUAAUUUUUUAAUGACUCA
RNAcentral lists this ribosomal RNA (508 nucleotides) under uncultured glomeraceous AM fungus. RNAcentral describes it as "SSU rRNA". It matches the Rfam family "Eukaryotic small subunit ribosomal RNA", at positions 569 to 1078 of the family's 1831-position model. Lineage: Eukaryota; Fungi; Glomeromycota; Glomeromycetes; Glomerales; Glomeraceae. The record is from RNAcentral.